RNAcentral lists this ribosomal RNA (449 nucleotides) under uncultured bacterium. Its description in RNAcentral is "partial 16S ribosomal RNA". It matches the Rfam family "Bacterial small subunit ribosomal RNA", at positions 354 to 796 of the family's 1533-position model. The record is from RNAcentral.
GUCGAGAAUCUUUCACAAUGGGGGCAACCCUGAUGGAGCGACGCCGCGUGGAGGAUAAGGUCUUCGGAUUGUAAACUCCUGUCAUGCGUGAACAAGGUUGCUUGGUUAAUACCUGGGCAAAUUGAUGGUAACGCAAGAGGAAGAGACGGCUAACUCUGUGCCAGCAGCCGCGGUAAUACAGAGGUCUCAAGCGUUGUUCGGAAUCACUGGGCGUAAAGGGUGCGUAGGUGGCGUGGUAAGUCAGAUGUGAAAGCCCGGGGCUCAACCUCGGAACUGCAACCGAUACUGCCAAGCUAGAGUACUGGAGAAGUGACUAGAAUUCUCGGUGUAGGACUGAAAUGCGUAGAUAUCGGGAGGAAUACCAAAGGCGUAGGCAGGUCACUGGACAGUUACUGACACUGAGGCACGAAGGCCAGGGGAGCGAACGGGAUUAGAAACCCGUGUAGUCC